GUGUUUGUUACGCAUUCUGGUAAAUGCGCGUACUUUGUUGUUUAUCUCCAGUAAUGACAAUAACGAUUCUCCGUCUUAAACUUUAUUGUUUAUUUACGUAUUAGGGUACCUGAGGUUUGAUUAUAAAUGUUGCUUGACUUGUUUGGAGAAGUUUAUUGGUAACGUUUGGGAUUCAUUUUGUAUGCAUUUUGAAGGAGGGAAACCGGUGGAUUAUUGAAUGAAGCACGCCAGCUAAACUUAGUUUUUGGGGAUAUAAAGAAGGACUUUAUCGAACAAAACAACCAUUUGUGAUGUAGCUGGGACCUUUUGGAGUGCCAACAGAAGAUCUUCAAAGGACCUGAGCCCUAGGACCAUGCCUCAGGACUACCUGGCAUGAUGACUCCUUGCUGUCCCCAGUCCACCUGGCCGUGCUGCUGCUCCAGUUUCAACUGUUCUGCCUGCGGCUAUGGAACCCUGACCUGUUCACCGGACGUGCUUGUUGCACCCUCGACAACUACUAUGAUUAUUAUUAUUUGACCAUGCUGGUCAUUUAUGAACAUUUUAACAUCUUUACCAUGUUCUGUUAUAAUAUCCACCCGGCACAGUCAGAAGAGGACUGGCCACUCCUCAUAGCCUGGUUUCUUCCUAGGUUUUUGGCCUUUCUAGGGAGUUUUUCCUAGGGAGUUUUUCCUAGCCACCGUGCUUCUUUCACAUGCAUUGCCUGCUGUUUGGGGUUUUAGGCUGGGUUUCUGUACAGCACUUUGAGAUAUCAGCUGAUGUACGAAGGGCUAUAUAAAUACAUUUGAUUUGAUUUUGAUUUGAUUUGAACCAUUGCAGAAAUAUUGCACAGAAAAAGUAUUUUGUUGACACAGCUUCUGAAAUGGAGUAUCACAUCAAGCAUUUCAUUAACUGCAAAACCACUCAUGUCAUCUACAGAUUGGAAUGUCCACAGUGCAAGGUGUUCUACAUUGGACGGACAAAGAAACGCCUUCAAGACCGCUUAGUGGAACACAAGUACGCCAUACGGGUAGGCAAUGAUGACUACCCCAUGGCAAGGCACUACAAGUCCUUACACCAUGGCAACCCUGCCUCCCUACAAGCUAUGGGUAUUAAUCAUGUUCCGGCCUCAA
Molecule: long non-coding RNA, 1109 nt
Filed under: Salmo salar (Atlantic salmon)
Lineage: Eukaryota; Metazoa; Chordata; Actinopteri; Salmoniformes; Salmonidae
Description: lncRNA (ENSSSAG00000117734.1)
Source: RNAcentral